Molecule: ribosomal RNA, 854 nt
Filed under: uncultured archaeon
Lineage: Archaea
Description: bacterial SSU rRNA
Rfam family: Archaeal small subunit ribosomal RNA
Source: RNAcentral
AUGCCUAGUCGUGUGCUUCAGCCAAAACGAAGCACGGCAUACAGCUCAGUAACACGUGGCUAAUCUGCCCUUGGGACGAGAACAACCCCGGGAAACUGGGGCUAACUCUCGAUAGGCGAAGAACUCUGGAAUGAGUCUUUACCUAAAUAGAUUCACGUUAUGCUCGUGAAUUUGCCCAAGGAUGAGGCCGCGACCGAUCAGGUUGUUGGUGAGGUAAUGGCUCACCAAGCCUUUUACCGGUGCGGGCCGUGAGAGCGGGAGCCCGGAGAUGGGCACUGAGACAAGGGCCCAGGCCCUACGGGGCGCAGCAGUCGCGAAAACUUUGCAAUAAGCGAAAGCUUGACAGGGCUAUCCCGAGUGCCAUCCGCUGAGGAAGGCUUUUACCCAGUCUAGAACGCUGGGGGAAUAAGGAGAGGGCAAGUCUGGUGUCAGCCGCCGCGGUAAUACCAGCUCUUCGAGUGGUGUGGAUGUUUAUUGGGCCUAAAGCAUCCGUAGCUGGCUAAGUUAGUCCCUUGUUAAAUCCACCGAAUUAAUCGUUGGAUUGCGGGGGAUACUGCUUGGCUAGGGGACGAGAGAGGCAGACGGUAUUUUCGGGGUAGGGGUGAAAUCCUAUAAUCCCGGGAAGACCACCAGUGGCGAAGGCUGUCUGCUAGAACGCGCCCGACGGUGAGGGAUGAAAGCUGGGGGAGCGAGCCGGAUUAGAUACCCGGGUAGUCCCAGCUGUAAACGAUGCAGGCUAGGUGUUUGGACGGCCACGUGCCGUUCUAGUGCCGCAGGGAAGCUGUUAAGCCUGCCGCCUGGGGGAGUAUGAUCGCAAGAUUGAAACUUAAAGGAAUUGGCGGGGGAGCACCACA